RNAcentral lists this ribosomal RNA (521 nucleotides) under uncultured bacterium. RNAcentral's name for it is "bacterial SSU rRNA". It matches the Rfam family "Bacterial small subunit ribosomal RNA", at positions 8 to 518 of the family's 1533-position model. The record is from RNAcentral.
AGGGUUCGAUUCUGGCUCAGGAUGAACGCUAGCUACAGGCUUAACACAUGCAAGUCGAGGGGCAUCAGGGAGAAAGCUUGCUUCUUGCUGGCGACCGGCGCACGGGUGAGUAACGCGUAUCCAACCUUCCCCCCAGUAGGGCAUAGCCCGGCGAAAGUCGGAUUUAAUACCCUAUGUUGUGUCAUGAGGACAUCUGAAUAACACCAAAGAUUUAUCGCUGGGGGAUGGGGAUGCGUCCGAUUAGGUUGUUGGCGGGGUAACGGCCCACCAAGCCCGCGAUCGGUAGGGGUUCUGAGAGGAAGGUCCCCCACACUGGUACUGAGACACGGACCAGACUCCUACGGGAGGCAGCAGUGAGGAAUAUUGGUCAAUGGGCGAGAGCCUGAACCAGUCAAGUAGCGUGCCAGGAUGACGGCCCUAUGGGUUGUAAACUGCUUUUAUGCGGGGAUAAAGUGACGUACGUGUACGUUUUUGUAGGUACCGCAUGAAUAAGGACCGGCUAAUUCCGUGCCAGCAGCUGC